GGCGAACGGGUGAGUAACACGUGGGUGAUCUGCCCUGCACUUCGGGAUAAGCCUGGGAAACUGGGUCUAAUACCGGAUAGGACGAUGGUUUGGAUGCCAUUGUGGAAAGUUUUUCGGUGUGGGAUGAGCUCGCGGCCUAUCAGCUUGUUGGUGGAGUAAUGGCCUACCAAGGCGACGACGGGUAGCCGGCCUGAGAGGGUGGACGGCCACAUUGGGACUGAGAUACGGCCCAG
This 233-nucleotide ribosomal RNA is filed under the name uncultured Actinomycetales bacterium. RNAcentral describes it as "partial 16S ribosomal RNA". It matches the Rfam family "Bacterial small subunit ribosomal RNA", at positions 97 to 334 of the family's 1533-position model. The record is from RNAcentral. Lineage: Bacteria; Bacillati; Actinomycetota; Actinomycetes; Actinomycetales.